This 252-nucleotide ribosomal RNA is filed under the name uncultured bacterium. RNAcentral's name for it is "partial 16S ribosomal RNA". It matches the Rfam family "Bacterial small subunit ribosomal RNA", at positions 524 to 776 of the family's 1533-position model. The record is from RNAcentral.
UACGUAGGGUGCAAGCGUUGUCCGGAAUUAUUGGGCGUAAAGAGCUCGUAGGCGGUUUGUCACGUCGGAUGUGAAAUCCCGGGGCUUAACCUCGGGCCUGCAUUCGAUACGGGCUGACUAGAGUUCGGUAGGGGAGACUGGAAUUCCUGGUGUAGCGGUGAAUGCGCAGAUAUCAGGAGGAACACCGGUGGCGAAGGCGGGUCUCUGGGCCGAUACUGACGCUGAGGAGCGAAAGCGUGGGGAGCGAACAGG